This 497-nucleotide ribosomal RNA is filed under the name uncultured bacterium. RNAcentral's name for it is "partial 16S ribosomal RNA". It matches the Rfam family "Bacterial small subunit ribosomal RNA", at positions 28 to 507 of the family's 1533-position model. The record is from RNAcentral.
GAUGAACGCUGGCGGCGUGCCUAAUACAUGCAAGUCGAGCGAACAGACGAGGAGCUUGCUCCUCUGACGUUAGCGGCGGACGGGUGAGUAACACGUGGAUAACCUCCCUAUAAGACUGGGAUAACUUCGGGAAACCGGAGCUAAUACCGGAUAAUAUAUUGAACCGCAUGGUUCAAUAGUGAAAGACGGUUUUGCUGUCACUUAUAGAUGGAUCCGCGCCGCAUUAGCUAGUUGGUAAGGUAACGGCUUACCAAGGCAACGAUGCGUAGCCGACCUGAGAGGGUGAUCGGCCACACUGGAACUGAGACACGGUCCAGCCUCCUACGGGAGGCAGCAGUAGGGAAUCUUCCGCAAUGGGCGAAAGCUUGACGGAGCAACGCCGCGUGAGUGAUGAAGGUCUUCGGAUCGUAAAACUCUGUUAUUAGGGAAGAACAAAUGUGUAAGUAACUAUGCACGUCUUGACGGUACCUAAUCAGAAAGCCACGGCUAACUACGUG